GACGAACGCUGGCGGCGUGCUUAACACAUGCAAGUCGAACGGAAAGGCCCUGCUUUUGUGGGGUGCUCGAGUGGCGAACGGGUGAGUAACACGUGAGUAACCUGCCCUUGACUUUGGGAUAACUUCAGGAAACUGGGGCUAAUACCGGAUAGGAGCUCCUGCUGCAUGGUGGGGGUUGGAAAGUUUCGGCGGUUGGGGAUGGACUCGCGGCUUAUCAGCUUGUUGGUGGGGUAGUGGCUUACCAAGGCUUUGACGGGUAGCCGGCCUGAGAGGGUGACCGGCCACAGUGGGACUGAGAUACGGCCCAGACUCCUACGGGAGGCAGCAGUGGGGAAUAUUGCACAAUGAGCGGAAGCCUGAUGCAGCAACGCCGCGUGCGGGAUGACGGCCUUCGGGUUGUAAACCGCUUUCGCCUGUGACGAAGCGUGAGUGACGGUAAUGGGUAAAGAAGCACCGGCUAACUAC
RNAcentral lists this ribosomal RNA (465 nucleotides) under uncultured bacterium. Its description in RNAcentral is "partial 16S ribosomal RNA". It matches the Rfam family "Bacterial small subunit ribosomal RNA", at positions 28 to 504 of the family's 1533-position model. The record is from RNAcentral.